UACCAGAAAACAGAUAUGAAACUACGAGUUGUAGGGUUCGAUAGCAGCAAGGAAAUAAUCAUCAUAUUUCAUAGAUUCGAAUAAUGCAAGUAACAAUCAUUUAAUGAUGAUCAGAUAAUCAGAUAAAAACACACAAAUAUAAGUUUAUCAAGAAGAAAUAUGAAAACAGUUAAGAUAGAAUAGUGAUUAACGAAAAGUAUUGUAUUGUUGUAUUGUUUAUUGUAUUAAGUGAUUGGCCAAACAAGCGGCCUUAUCACUGAAUUAAAACUAAAACUUAAAUAACUAACGCAGUGUACAAUGACAAAACGGAUCAACAAAAUCUAGUAGAGAAAGAGAGUCGGAAGUGUUACGUACGAUACGAAACAGCCUAACAUCAUCCGCAUAAAGCAGACAAUCUGCUUCCGUAA
Long non-coding RNA from Anopheles gambiae (African malaria mosquito), 407 nucleotides. RefSeq lists it as uncharacterized. The transcript has 2 exons. Lineage: Eukaryota; Metazoa; Arthropoda; Insecta; Diptera; Culicidae. The record is from RefSeq and is a predicted model, not a curated record.